Molecule: ribosomal RNA, 515 nt
Filed under: uncultured bacterium
Lineage: Bacteria
Description: partial 16S ribosomal RNA
Rfam family: Bacterial small subunit ribosomal RNA
Source: RNAcentral
GACGAACGCUGGCGGCGUGCCUAAUACAUGCAAGUCGAGCGGACCGAAUGGAAGCUUGCUUUCAUUCGGUUAGCGGCGGACGGGUGAGUAACACGUGGGUAACCUGCCCGUAAGACCGGGAUAACUUCGGGAAACCGGAGCUAAUACCGGAUAACACCGAGGAUCGCAUGAUCCUUGGUUGAAAGGUGGCUUCGGCUACCACUUACGGAUGGGCCCGCGGCGCAUUAGCUAGUUGGUGAGGUAACGGUUCACCAAGGCGACGAUGCGUAGCCGGCCUGAGAGGGUGACCGGCCACACUGGGACUGAGACACGGCCCAGACUCCUACGGGAGGCAGCAGUAGGGAAUCUUCCGCAAUGGACGAAAGUCUGACGGAGCGACGCCGCGUGAGCGAAGAAGGCCUUCGGGUCGUAAAGCUCUGUUGUUAGGGAAGAACAAGUACCGUUCGAAUAGGGCGGUACCUUGACGGUACCUAACGAGAAAGCCCCGGCUAACUACGUGCCAGCAGCCGCCGUAA